RNAcentral lists this long non-coding RNA (632 nucleotides) under Brachypodium distachyon (stiff brome). RNAcentral's name for it is "long non-coding RNA (BDIS_LNC000440)". Lineage: Eukaryota; Viridiplantae; Streptophyta; Magnoliopsida; Poales; Poaceae. The record is from RNAcentral.
GCUGCAGGCGCGCGCGCGGGCCGGUUUUGCUAGGGCGGUCGGGUGCGGUCAGGCGCGGUCGGUUCUGGGCUGGUUCGGCCCAAGCGGUCGGACCGGUCCGGUUUUCUCUUUUCUUUUCUUUUCUUUUUGCCUUUUUCUUAUUUCAUUGAUAACUUUUGAUUUAGACCUCCAAAUUGGUCCAAAUAAAUUCCAGAAAAUUUGUAAAAUCAUGUUUUACCAUGAUUCAACUUUUGGGAGUAAUUUCCUCUCAAAGUAAAAUAUACAAAAGUACCUUUGCCCUAUAAAUGCUUUUAGGGCUAUAUAACUAUUUAAAUAAAAUAGUUUUUCAACUCCAAAUAAUUAUCCAAAAAUUAUGGGAUAGCUCAUUUAUGCAAUAAACCCCUUUUAUAAAUAAAUCUUAUUGGUUUGAAAAUCCAAAGCUUAAAUGGGUGUAAGCCCUAGGGUUUAAAUUGAAAUAAAAUCUUUUCUAAGCCUUUUAAGAUUCAAAUUUGAAUUCAAAAAUGCAAUUGUGGCAUGAUGCUCAUGGAUGCAAUGCAUAUGAAAGGAUUUGAAAUUUUGGGAUGUUACAUGAACUGACGCCUGCAAAGGAGUCUGAGGCAGCCUCCCUGAUGGCUAGGAUGCACUCCCUUAUG